RNAcentral lists this unclassified non-coding RNA (1219 nucleotides) under Hevea brasiliensis (rubber tree). Lineage: Eukaryota; Viridiplantae; Streptophyta; Magnoliopsida; Malpighiales; Euphorbiaceae. The record is from RNAcentral.
UGUCAAUGGACCAUCGCAAGAAACUGAGAAUUCUCAUUGGCUUGCUCAAGGACAAGACCUCCAUUAUCAAAGCAACUCUAUCCACCAAGCGGAUCAGUAAAAUAAAAAUCGCUGUCCUCCGCGCCACCACUCAUGACGCGUCUACCCCACCUUCGGACAAAUGCAUCGCCGCCGUCCUCUCUCUUGGCCAGGGCUCCCGCCCUGUUACAUGCACAUGCAUUGAGGUUCUAAUGGAUCGCCUACAUAGCACCAAGAAUGCUUCUGUUGCCCUAAAAUGUCUCUUCAUUAUGCAUACUAUCAUAUCAAGAGGCUCGUUUAUUCUCAAAGAUCAGCUUUCCGUUUACCCUUCUUUUGGUGGCAGGAACUUCCUUAACCUAUCAAUGUUUCGAGAUGAAUCAGAUCCUGAAAGGUGGGAUUUAUCUUCUUGGGUUAGAUGGCAUGCAGGUAUCGUAGAGCAGAAUUUAACGAUUUCAAGAUUUCUGGGUCACUACCUGUGUUCUUCUCUCAUUGCAACUAAAAAUAAGGGCGAGGAAAAGAGAGUUUUGGCACUGUUGAACAGAGAUUUAUUUGAUGAAAUGGAUGUUCUAGUGGAUUUUGUUGAAGUAGUAAGUGAAUUUCCUGAUUCUUUACAUCUUCUAAAGAAUAAUUUGAUCUAUGAGAUAGUUCGGUUGGUUUCUGAGGAUUACAGGUCUGUUCAACGUGAAAUCUCAAUCAGAGUUAUGGAACUCGGGGAGAGAAUUCCGAGUUUGAGUUAUAUUGAGUUGACUCAGCUUCUGGGUAACUUGAAGAGAUCCGAGGGUUGCAAAGAGAGAUUGUGUUUGUUGUUUGCAAAUAGGAAUAGGAAUGAUGCUUUAUGGAAAUUGGUAGGUGAAACAAGGACGAAAGCUGUAGAGAUGAUGAAGGAAAAGGGAGAGAUGAAGUUGCUGAAAAUGGGAAGCGAUUCAAGCGAGUUGACUCAGAUCCGAUUCAAUUCUGAUGGCAGAUGGAUGGGUUUUGACUCGGUAGCUUUAACUGUUUCUGCAAUGCAAUGAGUAUUCCCCCUUCAACUUUCCCAUUUUUGAAUCUUCACGCUUUGCUUUGUCAUUUACCUUUGGUCAAAUUUAUUUAUUUAUUUUAAUUUCCUUUUACAAAUCAAACUUGAUUAACGUCGUGCAUGAAUUAUUUAUUGUGAAAUAUCUGAGAUGUUUUGUGAAUUAAGAUAAUUUGUAUUUAUUGUGAA